This 285-nucleotide small nuclear RNA is filed under the name Aotus nancymaae (Ma's night monkey). RNAcentral's name for it is "7SK RNA (ENSANAG00000004838.1)". It matches the Rfam family "7SK RNA". From Rfam's summary of the family: 7SK was discovered as an abundant small nuclear RNA in the mid-70s but a possible function has only recently been suggested. The record is from Rfam by way of RNAcentral. Lineage: Eukaryota; Metazoa; Chordata; Mammalia; Primates; Aotidae.
GGAGAGCAAACUGGAUGGGGCUUCUAUCACCCCAUGGGCCACUAGGGUUGGUUCAUUUGAUCUGGCUGGGUUAUGGGUCCCCUUCUUGGCUUUACAUUCCAUGAAGUUGCAUACUUCCUCAAGGAGAAAUACCAGAGAGAGAAAGGCCUUCAUAUGGGCAAGGGAAUAUAAAUCUUAUAUGCCUCCCCAGAGUCCCCAGACAAGCUUAGAUCCAUCUGUGGUUUAGACGAGUUAGGGCAAGCAAAUUUACAAACUCUCCUGGAGAUCUCAUGGAUAAGAUAGUGU